AUUGAACGCUGGCGGCAUGCUUUACACAUGCAAGUCGAACGGCAGCACGGACUUCGGUCUGGUGGCGAGUGGCGAACGGGUGAGUAAUACAUCGGAACGUACCCAGUAAUGGGGGAUAACUAGUCGAAAGAUUAGCUAAUACCGCAUACGCCCUACGGGGGAAAGGGGGGGAUCGCAAGACCUCUUGUUAUUGGAGCGGCCGAUGGCUGAUUAGCUAGUUGGUGGUGUAAAGGCCUACCAAGGCGACGAUCAGUAGCGGGUCUUAGAGGAUGAUCCGCCACACUGGAACUGAGACACGGUCCAGACUCCUACGGGAGGCAGCAGUGGGGAAUCUUGGACAAUGGGCGAAAGCCUGAUCCAGCAAUGCCGCGUGCGUGAAGAAGGCCUUCGGGUUGUAAAGCGCUUUUGUCUGGGAGCAAAUCCUUGUGGCUAAUACCCACCGGGGAUGAGAGUACCAGAAGAAUAAGGACCGGCUAACUACGUGCCAGCCGCCGCUGUAA
This 500-nucleotide ribosomal RNA is filed under the name uncultured bacterium. Its description in RNAcentral is "partial 16S ribosomal RNA". It matches the Rfam family "Bacterial small subunit ribosomal RNA", at positions 30 to 523 of the family's 1533-position model. The record is from RNAcentral.